RNAcentral lists this long non-coding RNA (258 nucleotides) under Ananas comosus (pineapple). RNAcentral describes it as "long non-coding RNA (ACOM_LNC042314)". Lineage: Eukaryota; Viridiplantae; Streptophyta; Magnoliopsida; Poales; Bromeliaceae. The record is from RNAcentral.
AUUAAUUUAUACUUCCAAUAGAUCAUUUAGUGGUCCUUACCGAGUGUCCUUCUAAAAAAUCAUUUAGUGGCUCUGCCUACUCUUUUUUAUUUUUUACUUUCUAAUAAAACCAAAAAAGGCUUGGUUUGGUUAGUUAAUACCCGAUUCAAAUUGAACCGACUUACAACUUGCUUAAUUUGACUUGUUCAGAUGUGUGGUUCAACUAAUAAAUUGGUGAACCAACCUGAUUUUAUUGGUAGUAGUUGGGUUCAUCUUUAU